AACCUAGCACACCUGCGGUGUGUACCUGCGGAGGGAUCAUUAGUAAAUGCUGGCGCGAGUCAGCUUUAUUACCCACAUACACCUGUGCACGCCUUCGGGCAUAACAAACUAUUGGUAAUGAAUGUCAUACAUAAAACAAAUACAACUUUCAACAAUGGAUCU
This 162-nucleotide unclassified non-coding RNA is filed under the name soil metagenome. RNAcentral describes it as "partial contains 5.8S ribosomal RNA, internal transcribed spacer 2, and large subunit ribosomal RNA". The record is from RNAcentral.